AUCACUUCUCGGCUUUUUGGCUAAGAUCAAGUGUAGUAUCUGUUCUUAUUAGUUUACUAUCUGAUAUGUCCUCUAUCCGAGGACAAUAUAUUAAAUAGAUUUUUGUAGCUCGGAGUUGGAAUAGGAGCUUACUCCGUCCACUCCACGCAUUGACCUGGUAUUGCAGUACUUCCAGGAAUGGUGCACCCCCU
RNAcentral lists this small nuclear RNA (191 nucleotides) under Jaculus jaculus (lesser Egyptian jerboa). RNAcentral's name for it is "U2 spliceosomal RNA (ENSJJAG00000004723.1)". It matches the Rfam family "U2 spliceosomal RNA". Rfam says of the family: U2 is a small nuclear RNA (snRNA) component of the spliceosome (involved in pre-mRNA splicing). Complementary binding between U2 snRNA (in an area lying towards the 5' end but 3' to hairpin I) and the branchpoint sequence (BPS) of the intron results the bulging out of an unpaired adenosine, on the BPS, which initiates a nucleophilic attack at the intronic 5' splice site, thus starting the first of two transesterification reactions that mediate splicing. Lineage: Eukaryota; Metazoa; Chordata; Mammalia; Rodentia; Dipodidae. The record is from Rfam by way of RNAcentral.